This 335-nucleotide unclassified non-coding RNA is filed under the name soil metagenome. RNAcentral describes it as "partial contains 5.8S ribosomal RNA, internal transcribed spacer 2, and large subunit ribosomal RNA". The stretch from base 1 to 119 matches the Rfam family "5.8S ribosomal RNA", at positions 36 to 154 of the family's 154-position model. The record is from RNAcentral.
AUGAAGAACGUAGCGAAAUGCGAUAAGUAAUGUGAAUUGCAGAAUUCAGUGAAUCAUCGAAUCUUUGAACGCACAUUGCGCCCCUUGGUAUUCCGGGGGGCAUGCCUGUUCGAGCGUCAUUUCAACCCCUCAAGCUCGGCUUGGUGUUGGGCUGCGCCAGCGUUGCUGGCGGGCCUUAAAAUCAGUGGCGGUGCCGUUUGGGCUCCAAGCGUAGUAGCAUCUCUCGCUCUGGAGACCCGGCGGUUGCUUGCCAGACAAUCACCAAAAAAACAAAGGUUUGACCUCGGAUCAGGUAGGGAUACCCGCUGAACUUAAGCAUAUCAAUAAGCGGAGGA